GACGAACGCUGGCGGCGUGCCUAAUACAUGCAAGUAGAACGCUGAAGAGAGGAGCUUGCUCUUCUUGGAUGAGUUGCGAACGGGUGAGUAACGCGUAGGUAACCUGCCUUGUAGCGGGGGAUAACUAUUGGAAACGAUAGCUAAUACCGCAUAACAAUGGAUGACACAUGUCAUUUAUUUGAAAGGGGCAAUUGCUCCACUACGAGAUGGACCUGCGUUGUAUUAGCUAGUAGGUGAGGUAACGGCUCACCUAGGCGACGAUACAUAGCCGACCUGAGAGGGUGAUCGGCCACACUGGGACUGAGACACGGCCCAGACUCCUACGGGAGGCAGCAGUAGGGAAUCUUCGGCAAUGGGGGCAACCCUGACCGAGCAACGCCGCGUGAGUGAAGAAGGUUUUCGGAUCGUAAAGCUCUGUUGUAAGUCAAGAACGAGUGUGAGAGUGGAAAGUUCACACUGUGACGGUAGCUUACCAGAAAGGGACGGCUAACUACGUGCCAGCAGCCGCGGUAAUACGUAGGUCCCGAGCGUUGUCCGGAUUUAUUGGGCGUAAAGCGAGCGCAGGCGGUUUGAUAAGUCUGAAGUUAAAGGCUGUGGCUCAACCAUAGUUCGCUUUGGAAACUGUCAAACUUGAGUGCAGAAGGGGAGAGUGGAAUUCCAUGUGUAGCGGUGAAAUGCGUAGAUAUAUGGAGGAACACCGGUGGCGAAAGCGGCUCUCUGGUCUGUAACUGACGCUGAGGCUCGAAAGCGUGGGGAGCGAACAGGAUUAGAUACCCUGGUAGUCCACGCCGUAAACGAUGAGUGCUAGGUAUUGGAUCCUUUCCGGGAUUCAGUGCCGCAGCUAACGCAUUAAGCACUCCGCCUGGGGAGUACGACCGCAAGGUUGAAACUCAAAGGAAUUGACGGGGGCCCGCACAAGCGGUGGAGCAUGUGGUUUAAUUCGAAGCAACGCGAAGAACCUUACCAGGUCUUGACAUCCCGAUGCUAUUUCUAGAGAUAGAAAGUUACUUCGGUACAUCGGUGACAGGUGGUGCAUGGUUGUCGUCAGCUCGUGUCGUGAGAUGUUGGGUUAAGUCCUGCAACGAGCGCAACCCCUAUUGUUAGUUGCCAUCAUUCAGUUGGGCACUCUAGCGAGACUGCCGGUAAUAAACCGGAGGAAGGUGGGGAUGACGUCAAAUCAUCGUGCCCCUUAUGACCUGGGCUACACACGUGCUACAAUGGUUGGUACAACGAGUUGCGAGUCGGUGACGGCAAGCUAAUCUCUUAAAGCCAAUCUCAGUUCGGAUUGUAGGCUGCAACUCGCCUACAUGAAGUCGGAAUCGCUAGUAAUCGCGGAUCAGCACGCCGCGGUGAAUACGUUCCCGGGCCU
Molecule: ribosomal RNA, 1369 nt
Filed under: uncultured bacterium
Lineage: Bacteria
Description: bacterial SSU rRNA
Rfam family: Bacterial small subunit ribosomal RNA
Source: RNAcentral